UUUGUCAAUCAAGCCAAACCGUCCAUUUAGAAACCGAGAAAUUUGGAGGCCGAUCUCUCAGGUUGACGCGCGAGCUGGCUUGACUUAAGUUUUCGUGAGGAUAUAGUUUAUGGACUGUUUUGAUUUCGGUAAUUACAUCUAGAAAGGUAAAAGCAGUGAUGACAUAUAUAAUAGAGAUAUCUGAAAGUGAAACGAAAGUGAUAUUGGCCUCGUCCAGUGGGGAGGACGCACGAGAGGAGACCUGCGCAUUUAAUUGUGCACAGCAGGGACUCUCAGCCAGGAGUGUGAUGGAAGGCAGGCAUUUUCUGGAUUUGAGAAAGAGAGAAGGAGAAAAGACACCAAAAGAAAUGGAUAAAGAAAGAUAAGAAAUUGGCGGUGACUCAGUUAAGGAUUAAGGUGCUGUCUGUCUGUCAUUCGGCCGGUGGUGGAAGGCACUGGAGAACCCCAGGGAUCUGGUGCCGUGUCACUGUGUGUGGUAUCAGCAUAGACAAGGACAAGAGUAAUCAAUACGAUUCGCCACUUCAAAUGAGACUCACUCAGCCAUUGUUCAACACCAAGCAGGCCAAAAAGAGGCUGAUGUUUUGUCCAACUUUUUCUGUCAUUCUAGAAUAAAAAUAGCCCUGUUUCGAUGUACCACAGAAAAUCUGCCAAAAGUGUGCAUCAAAGGCAAUUAUACCUGUACAGGCCUCAUCCACUGCAGCAUACUGCACAUUUCUGUGUUUGAAAGCAUGGGCAGCUAUUUAAGUUUUAGCAACAAAAAUACAUAAUGAAGAAAGCAAAGACUCCUCAAAGAUAAGAACUUUUAAAGCAUUUAGGAAAUGUAAUGGUUAAUCCAGGUAUUCUAUCCAUACAUAAUUUGUGUUAUUUUUACAGAAAAGUACUGUGAAAAUGCUGGAAUAAAACCUGUU
Megalobrama amblycephala (Wuchang bream) is the source of this 908-nucleotide long non-coding RNA. RefSeq lists it as uncharacterized. Lineage: Eukaryota; Metazoa; Chordata; Actinopteri; Cypriniformes; Xenocyprididae. The record is from RefSeq and is a predicted model, not a curated record. The transcript is spliced from 3 exons.